RNAcentral lists this ribosomal RNA (407 nucleotides) under uncultured bacterium. Its description in RNAcentral is "partial 16S ribosomal RNA". It matches the Rfam family "Bacterial small subunit ribosomal RNA", at positions 28 to 526 of the family's 1533-position model. The record is from RNAcentral.
GACGAACGCUGGCGGCGUGCCUAAUACAUGCAAGUAGGACGCAGUUGCGAACGGGUGAGUUACGCGUAGGUAACUACCUAUUAGUGGGGGAUAACUAUUGGAAACGAUAGCUAAUACCGCAUACUAGUAGAUGGACCUGCGUUGUAUUAGCGAGUAGGUAGGGUAAUGGCACACCUAGGCAAGGAUACAUAGCCGACCUGAGAGGUUGUUCGGCCACACUGGGACUGGGGAACGGCCCAGACUACUACCGGAUGCAGCAGUAGGGAAUCUUCGGCAAUGGGGGGAAACCUUACCGAGCAACUCCGCGUGAGUGAAGAAGGUUUUCGGUUCGUAAAGCUCUGUUGUUGAGGAAGCGGUACUUAACCAAAAAGGGACGGCUAACUACGUGCCAGCAGCCGCGGUAAUAC